This 468-nucleotide ribosomal RNA is filed under the name uncultured bacterium. RNAcentral's name for it is "partial 16S ribosomal RNA". It matches the Rfam family "Bacterial small subunit ribosomal RNA", at positions 28 to 507 of the family's 1533-position model. The record is from RNAcentral.
GACGAACGCUGGCGGCGUGCUUAACACAUGCAAGUCGAACGGAAAGGCCCUGCUUUUGUGGGGUGCUCGAGUGGCGAACGGGUGAGUAACACGUGAGUAACCUGCCCUUGACUUUGGGAUAACUUCAGGAAACUGGGGCUAAUACCGGAUAGGAGCUCCUGCUGCAUGGUGGGGGUUGGAAAGUUUCGGCGGUUGGGGAUGGACUCGCGGCUUAUCAGCUUGUUGGUGGGGUAGUGGCUUACCAAGGCUUUGACGGGUAGCCGGCCUGAGAGGGUGACCGGCCACAUUGGGACUGAGAUACGGCCCAGACUCCUACGGGAGGCAGCAGGGGGGAACUUUGCACAAUGGGCGGAAGCCUGAGGCAGCAACGCCGCGUGCGGGAUGACGGCCUUCGGGUUGUAAACCGCUUUCGCCUGUGACGAAGCGUGAGUGACGGUAAUGGGUAAAGAAGCACCGGCUAACUACGUG